UGUGUCUGACCAAAGAGCCUCAACUGCCAGACGUCUGUCCAUCCACACCAUUCAAUUAGCACCUACUAUGUGCCAGCCUUAGGUCUAGGGGCUCAAGAAACAGGGUGGACAAGACAGGAAGUGUCCCUGUCCUCAUGGACCAGACACCAUCUGGUGGAAGAGAUGAGACAAUUGAGUAAUAAUAUCAAUACAAUAAGAUGUCAUCACUUAGUGAGGAGAGGAGAGGAGAGCUCAGUAAUGGUGGUAGAGGAGCCAUCAGAGGGUUGGACAAGGAAGACAGAGGAUCUGAGCUAAGUUUGUGAAGAAAAGUCCAGAUGCCUCAGACAAGAUGGACAAGGAGGUGGGAAGCAUGAUGGCUGUGGGUCCAACUAGGGUCACUGGGGGAGACUGUUUAUACCCAGCAUAUGUUUGUGGGGAGGAGGGACUGAAGCCUGGGUGAGGGGAGAGGGCUCAAGGCUGGCCUUAGGACAUGGACAGGAUGGUAUUGAGUCACGCUGCAGAAGGAGCCUUCAUGGGCAAGGGGGCUGGGGGAGGCCCUGAGCUCAUUACUCCAACGGAAAUAUCAAACUGCCUGUUAGCCUUUGUCAAAGGUAUCAAAGAGACUUUUUCAUUCAAGAUGGCAAGAGAGGAAUCUCCCUCUUAGACUUCUUUGAGAUAUUCUUUCUUCAUGACCGUUUCUUGCCCCUGGAUGAAUGCUCACAUGGGAGCAAAUUACCUCCUCAGUCCCAGGAUUUCAAUUUGCACACAAUCCCCCCAGAAUGAUCGAGACCUGCCAUCCCUGACCCACUGAUCAGGAAUUCUG
RNAcentral lists this long non-coding RNA (802 nucleotides) under Homo sapiens (human). RNAcentral's name for it is "HSALNT0275670". Lineage: Eukaryota; Metazoa; Chordata; Mammalia; Primates; Hominidae. The record is from RNAcentral.